RNAcentral lists this long non-coding RNA (35674 nucleotides) under Lynx pardinus (Iberian lynx). Lineage: Eukaryota; Metazoa; Chordata; Mammalia; Carnivora; Felidae. The record is from RNAcentral.
GUGCAUGCAUUCUUUCAACUUUCCCUUUUCCCCAUGCAGCAGAGAUAUGAAGCCUUAGAACUGUCCACAUAACAAAGUCUCCUGAUCCCCCGCGUCCCAUUCAUUGGCUGCUUCCGGAAAAUGUGGCUUAACUGCGUUAGAGUUCACGCACGUCUCGAUGGUUGGGAACUCCUCAAAAAGGUAUGGCAAUUCUGACGGCUUGUUUAUUUCUCCCAUCACGGCUUAGGAACACUUCUGUACAGGUUGUGUUCUGGUAAAAUAAAGAUGUGAUUCUAGUCUAGAGAAUUAAGUGGACUGAUGUGUCUUAUUCAGGAGGAGGAUAGUGAUAUGGCAUUCUUUAAAAAAAAAAAAUGUAUAAAAGGGGCCCCUGCGUGGCUCACUGGGUUGAGCUUCUGACUUCAGCUCAGGUCGUGAUCUCACAGUUGUGGGUUCGAGCCCUGCGUCGGGCUCUGCACUGACAGCUCGGAGCCUGGAGCCUGCUUCAGAUUCUGUGUCUCCCUCUCUCUCUGUCCCUCCCCUGCUCAUGCUCUGUCUCUCUCUCUCUCUCAAAAAUAAAUAAACAGAAAGAAAUGUAUAAGCAAUUGUAUUAAAUAUAAUUCUUCAAUUGUAAGUGACAAAAGAAUAACCGUUGAAUUAUAAUUGUUCCAACAGAAAUAAGGUAGAUUUUAAAGAAAUUGCUAAAAAUAUGUAAUAAAUGAAUUGAUUUGAACUUGACAAAUUUUGACAGUUAUAAGGAGAAAUUUACAUUAUAUUCACAUGCUUCUUCAUUGCUGUUUCAGAAACUUGGAAAGAAAGUACAAAAUCAAAAAAAUAUAGUGUUAGGGCUAACGACACAGUGAGGCAGAAUUCGACUGUAUUUCUCUAUAUCACAAUUUACAUUUAGAAAGUAAAACAAAACCCAUAUUAUUUAUAACAGCAUUUAAGCCAUCAAUUAUAUAGAAAUAAAUCUAACAAAAGAUGAGAACUCUAUUGAAAAACAUAAAACUUCAUUAAGAAACACAUAAGUGGAAAGUAUGCCACAUUCAUGGAAAUAAGACUAAAAUAUUAUAAAUAUACUAAAUCUGUGUCAAAUUUAUUUCAAUAUUCAAUGACAUCAUUUUUUUUCCUCUUGUGGAACUUGAGACAGUAAGUUCUAAGUAAAAAUGGAAAAAUAAUAGUAACAUUUUUGAAGCUGGGAAGACUGAGUCUCAAGGCAUUCUGACAUAUUUAUUAUAAAGCUCUAAUCAUUGAGAGCUCAUGUAACUGAUGCAGGAAUAGAAAAUAGUGCACAAAAGCAUAAAAGGAGCAAGAAAAAGACACACACGAGGAACUUCGAUAUAUGACCAAGGGACAAGGUAGAUGAAUGGAGAAUGUGAAUAUUCCAAAAACGGCACCUAGUAAUUGAGUGCCAUUGGAACAGAAUUAAACUGGUUUCCUGUUUCAAACAUUACAAAAAAAAAGUGUAUAUUGCAUAAAGUUUAAUUAUGGAAAAAAGUAUGAAGAUUUUAGAAGACAUUAUAGAAUUACAUACUUAAGGUUGCCUGGGUGGCUCAGUCGGUUAAGCAUCUGACUUCGGCUCAGGUCAUGAUCUCAAGGUUCAUAAGUUUGAGCCCCCACAUCUGGCUCUGUUUUGGAUUCUGUGUCUCCCUCUUUCUGUGUCCCUCCCCCACUCGUGCUGUAUCUCAGUCUCUGUCUCUCUCUCUCUCUCAAAAAUAAACUUUAAAAAAAAGUUAAACAAACAUAAAAGAUGAAUUAUACAUUCAAGAUUGCAAGGUAGUAAAUGAUUUCCUAAACGAGAUACAAAUUAAGGGAAAACUUAUAAAUCUGUGCCCCCCCCACUCGCAUGCACACACUCUCUCUCUCACAAUAAAUAAAUAAACAUUUGCUAAAAAAGAAUAUUUAAAAAAGCUUAAUAUUAUGGCUCAUAUAAUUGCAAAUUAAAAUCAUGAUAAGCUAGUGUAUACUUAUCAAACCAAAAUUUGGCGUUGAAUACGGAGCAAUCAAGCUUUCCUCCACUACUGUGGCAAUGCACGUUGGCACAGCGAAAAUAGUGUGUGUCACCUACCGAAAUUGAAAACUAUUCGUAUAUAUAUAACCCAGAGAAUUCGCUUCCAGACAUGAGUUCAGGGAGACUUGCACAUGAACUUGAACAUGAACACAUAUCCAUGAACGUCCAUAGCAUCCCUGUCAACAGAACUGAAUGUAGCCAAAUAAGUAAUAAACUGUGACAUAGUCACACAGCAUGGAUCUCGCUGGCAUAAUUUUGAGUAAAGAAACAGGACAUCAAAGAGACCAUGUUGUUCUAUUAACACAAAAUUCCCAAGCAGACAAAUCUAAAUUUCUGUUGUUUACAGGUACAUAAUUGUAUGGGAAAAUUAUAAAGAAAAGCUGGGAGCUGAUUACCAUGAAAGUUAAUAUGGUGGCUACAUUUAGACCCAGAGGGGGUUGUUUGAAACACAGUGGAAGUUAUUUUAGAGGAGGGACAUGAGGACAUUUUCUUGAGUGUGAGCUGUGUCCUAUGUCUUGUUCAUUGUAGUUUGCUCAUCUAUCCUGUUACUUUGCCCAUGUGUUUUAUUUACUGUUGAUAGAGUAUGCUAUAUUUUAUGAGAAUGAAGAAACAAAAUAUUCACAAUGCCAGUUAAAAAGACAUGUCAUUGAGGAAUAACUCUGAAAUCAUACAUGAAUUUAUGGAGCCGAAUAUAAACUUGGCUUCUCUUUAAUGUCCUUCAGUGAGGGAAGAACACCAGUUAACAGACUGCAACACGCAAUGCAGAAAAAGUUUACUUGUCCCACACAUAACCUUUAAAUGCAGAGUAAUUCUAACCACAAUCUCAAGAGGCUUUGCCAGGGGGGUUGACAAACAGGUUCUGAAGUUUAUUUAUAAAAAUUAAAUUUGGGGUCGCCUCGGUGGCUCAGUUGGUUAAGCAUCUGACCCUUGACUUUGGCUCAGGUCAUGAGGACCUCAUGCGUGAGUUCAAGCCCAGAGUUGGCUCUGUGCUGACUGAUUCUUUCUCUCUCCCUCCCUCUCUGCCCCUCUCCUGAUCAUGCUCUCUCUCUCUCUCUCUCUCGAACUAAAUAAACAAUAAAAGAAUAUAUAAAAUUUUAAGUGUAGCCAAAAUUAUUCUGAAAAAGAACGAACACCUUUUGGUACUAAAAAUGUUACUUCAGUGAGGAACCACUUUUGUUACCUUAAAAUGAAGUCACAACCACUUCAGGUCCUUUACAGCUCACAGAAUGUGAGGAUACUUUCAAUUUCUUUCUCCAAAAGGCCUUUAAAGAGGAAAAUAUAAAACUUCUUUUAGCAUCCCAUUUGAACUGGUAUUGACUUUCCGUUUCGGAAGUUAUUUUUGUGGCCCAAACGAAAUUUCUUGUCCUCACGCUUGUGUCUUAUGUUGUCUCCAUUGUCUGUGCUUCAAGGCUUCCAAUCUUUAAAGAUUCUUCCUAAGUUCUCAUUAUUUUUCCCCCUCCCAAUGGGGAGAAAAAAAUAGCAGCUCCAAGACUUUCCCUGAUUUUCAUACUUCCUGUGUUCUCCAAAAUUUUCUCUCUUUUUGUUUUGUUUCUCUUCAACUUGACUGGGGCAGGAGGGAUGUGAGAGGGUAGAGCCUAGGUAGAGGCAGAAGAUAUUCACCAGUUACGGGGGACAUUUUGUUUUGAGGAGUAUAUGCCCGCUGUUACUGGUCCUGCAGGUUUAACCAAUAUUAUAAAUAGGAAGGAGUGUUGUAAUAAACAAUAAUCGUUUUUUUUUCCAGGUUUGCUAAACCCAAGCCAAUGGCGUAUUUAUCUAACAGAAUGUAUGAGUAGCACUGUAUAAUUUUCUGUUUAUUUUCACAUACAUUAUUUCAUUGUAUUUGCUAAAUGGUUUUUUGAGUUGAUGACUGGUAUUAUUACUCCCUCGGAUGAGGGCACCCUGCGUGUUGACCUGAUUUGCCCAAGGUCACCCGAGGACAGCAGGACAAGCCCUUAAGCCAAGUCUUCUUUUAACUGAUAUUCUUUCUUUUUCACAUACUCAAGUACUCAUUUGAUAUAUCCCAACUCCAGCAUCACAAACUAAUUUGGAUAACCUCCUAGCAUUUACAUAAUGUAUUCCAUUUUGGGGUUAUUGGGCGAUUUCUCCUGUGGAAGAACAUCUGCCUGCGAUCGUCAUUCGUAACAAAUAGAACGGUGCCCCCUCACUCCACCCCACCCCCCAUCAAUAUAUUCGCAUCCUAAUUCCUCCAAGCUGGUGAAUGUGCUACAGACCCUGGUAAAAGAGAAGUGGCAGAUGGAAUGAUGGUUUCCAAACAACUGAUCUUAAAAUAAGAUUGCUCUGGAUUAUCUGGUGAAGCCAAGGGAAUCACAAAGGUCCUUGAAAUGUGGACGAAGUGUCAGAAAAGGCUGUGUCAAUGUGAUGUGAUGUGACAGCAGAACAAAUCAGCCAUUGCUUGCUUUGAAGAUGGAAGGGGCCAUGAGGCAAGGAAAGCAGGAGGCCUUAAAAUACUAGAAAAGGCAAGAAAACGGAUUCUCCCUGAGAGGCUUGUUUCCCGAUGCCCAAAGUUGGGAUCUUCUCCAAUACCAAUUCUCUAGUUCUCCAACACUGAGUGGGUGUCCAGCAUUUCAAUUAAAUUCUGACACUAAGUCCCAGGGUUAGCCCCCCAGAUUAAGGGCUCAGUCCCACCGGGCUGCCCCCACUUCAGACACCAGCCACAAAUGCGGUGUCCAGGGUACUCACAUUUCUGCCUGUAAAUGCACGGGUUCCCACAACUCCUCCUCAGGUUCAGUAACUUGCUAGACCUACUCAGGAAGCUCGGGGAAACAGUUUACUUACCAUAGCCUUACCAUAAAGGAUACAACUCAAGAACUGUCAAAUGAAAGAGACGCGAAUGAAAGAGACGCAAAGGGUAAGGGCUGGGGAUGGGGUAGGGGUACAUGCAGAGCUUUCUUCCUCCCCAAACCUUGAUCUGUUCGCCAACCCAGGAACUCUCCAAAGUCCAUUGUUUAGGGGCUUUUAAUGGAACUUUCUUACGUAGGCAUGCUUGAUUAAAUCAUGGGCCAACAGCAAUUGAACUCAAUCUCCAGCCCUUCUCUCCUCCUGGGAGGUGAGUGGUGGGGUGAAGUCAAAACUCCCAAGGCUAUAAUCAGGGUUUGGACUUUGUGCUGACCAGACUCCAUCCAGAAGCUGCGUAGGAAUGUCCUGCCCAACAGUCAUCUCAUUAGCAUACCAAAGAUGGUCAUCACUCCCAGAGUCCAAGCAUUUUAAAACCUCUGUGCCAGGAACCGGAAACAAAGACUAAAUAUUUUUUGUUAUCUCACACGCCCCCAGAACCUCCAAAAAGGAGCACAGCUCUACCAACACACCUUGAUUUUAGUCCAUUGGGACCCAGUUUGGACUUCUGACCUCCAGACCAAUUUGCAUUGUUUUAAGUCACUAAAUCUGUGAUGAUUUGUUAGAGCCAUCUGAGACUAAUACACCCUUUUAUAAACAUUUGCAGCAAAUUAUCACACUCCUGUAGCGAGGCAGGAUUUCAAAUAUUGACAACAUGGGAAGAGCUUUGGUUUUUGUUUGUUUGGUUGGUUUUUUGGUUGUUGUAUUUAUCAAAGAUUUUCACAGCAAAAUUUUUCCUCUUGUAUAGCUGUUUAUAUCAAUGCAAUGCAAACUGACAGGAUACUGACAUUUGAAGGAAAAUACACUAUUUUCAGAUCAGAUAUCAGCUGUCAACUUGGAUAGAGUGUAUUGUUUCUGAUAUUUUACAGCCCAGUUCACAAAAAUUUUACAUGCUUACAAUUCAGUUCUGGUGUGAAAAUUUUGUUGAAAUAUGUUGCAUAUGGGGUGGACAAUAAGAGGCUUCAUGGGCACAGCCUGAAUAGAUUACAUUGGGCCUAAAUAGGAAGGGACACAUGUAAAUAUGAAAUAAAAAUGAGGGAAUGAAAAAAUACUCAAUGAAGCAAAUGAAAUUAGUAAAUAAUUUACGCCAAUAACACUCAAACACACAAAAUGAAUAAGUAUUUGGAUUGCUCACUCACAAUUCAGAAUUCAAUGUACUUUCUUUAGCUGGGGCUGAAUUUAUAUAGUAGCCAGAAAUCAGGAUACUAAAUAUUAAUUAAGCCCUAUUUUCUGUUGACUGAAUUAGAACAUUGUGAUGUAACUAUGAGAAUCUUUGCACUGUAGGUAUAUGGGAAGAAAUCCUCUCAAUAUUAAUAUGCAUGUAGAGACCGAUCAUCACGUUUGUUACAACUUACUUUUAAAGUACUUUUAUAUGACUUUUCGAGAUGAAAGUACAUGCAAAUACAAAGUAUCAGAUUAUUGUGUUGAUGAAGGGACAUGAUGAAUUAGCAUUUCCUUUUUACUCUAAAGAAAAUGGAGCCCCAGAGAACUUAAGUGCACACAACAAAGUGUUCAGUUGUGCUUUAAAACAAUCGCAUUAGGGGUAUCUGGGUGGCUCGGUCAAUUGAGCGUCCGGCCUCGGCUCAGGUUAUGAUCUCACAGUUCCCGGGUUAUAGCCCCGCAUGGGGCUCUGUGCUGAUAGCUCAGAGCCUGGAGUUGCUUCAGAUUCUGUGACUCCCUCUCACUCUGCCCCUCCUCUCUCAAAAAUAAACAUUAAAAAAUAUAUUACAAAAAUACAGUCACAUUAAAAAAAUUGGAAUUGUUAAUCUGAUCUAAAGAACCAUGGUUUUUGAAAGAGAAUAAAAUAAUUAGGCUUGAAUUCUUUUGAAUUAUUUUGCAUCAUUUUUCAAAGCAAAUGUGACAUUGAACUUUCCUUGUAAAGCAUAAUUUAUUAUUUUUGUUAAUAUUGCUAUUAUUAUUUAUACGUAUUGAAAAUAAUUUCUAAAUUAUUACAAAUAGAGAAUUAACAUGUUUUUGAAACCACUUUAGGAUUUACAUCGUUUUUACCUAUAUUACCUUAUUUAAUCUUUACAGUUAUUAUUUAAAAUAACGGCGAAUAGGUUUUUUAGUAACUUUUUUUAAACUAGGAAAUAAAUGUUUGAGCUCUGAUUUGCCAUUUAUCUCUUUUUUUUUUAAGUUUAUUUAUUUAUUUAUUUUCGAGAGAGAGAAAGGGCAUGAGCAGGGGGGGAGCAGAGAGAGAGAGGAAGAGAAUCUCAAGCAGGCUUCACACUGUAAGUAUGGAGCCCAGUACAGGGCUGGAACCUAUGAACCGUGGGAUCAUGACCUGAGCCAAAAUCAAGAGUUGUACCCUUAACUGACUGAGCCACCCCGGCACCCCUACUCUUUUCCAUUUCAAAUUCAGAUGCUUCCCUCAGGGCCAGGGACACUGAGAAUAUCCCAAGAAUGGAUUUUUUAACCUAUCUUCACCUUACAAUUUCUGUAUUUUUUUCAUAAUAAAUCAAAAAAAUGUCACAAAUUACCUAAUUAACAGAUUCAAAUUAUACUGAAACCUAACUGCAAGCUAGGCAAUAUUAGUCACAGUUUCACAUCUUCUUUGAUAAAGGCUUAGCCAGGUCUUAGUAUGUGGUUCAUAUUUUGUGCCUUACACACAUGUCACCCAUAUCACAGUGAAUGAGAGGUUGGCUUAGUAAGCAGUGUCAGCCAGGAGAAAGAACUGCUUUCUCGUAACCCAUCUUCCCAGAUAGGGCGCCAUUUUGCGAUUUAUAAAAGUGUCACAUGGGCACUGGGUUAGGGCAACAAAAAUUGCUUGCUAACUUAAUUUUUUUAACCUUAUUAAUCAAGAAAUCAUAGUUACCAGAUUUAUCUGUUGUCUGUACUAGAAACAUGGGAACUAUAUAGUUUUAUAUCUAUAUCAUUAAAAUUAUUUUCUUUCAGACAUGAAGAUAUUUGUGACCCUUCCUGAAAUAUUCCAAGAUGAUUGGCUCAAAAAUUUCUUUUUGAGUGAUUUGGUACAAAGAUUACAUUUUCUACAACAUUAUAAGAAAAUGAGUCCAAAGGAGGACCAAAAUGGACAGACACCCCCUUAAAUGCUCUCCCCCUUUCUGAGUGUCAUAAACAAUAAAUAAGGCCACAACCUGACAUUUGGAAGGUCAGAAAUAUGAGUUUACAGAAACUCAUAUAACCAUAUCAGCUUCAUUGAUUAUAAGCUGGAGUUCUUUAAUUCUAAAGAUGGCUCUGUAACAUUCUUCCUUCCCCAUUUGAUAACCUUUCUCCAAUCUCCCAUUCUCGUGUCACUAUCUAGGCUCAAGGCAUCAGUAUUGUUGCAACAUCCACAAACUAUCCUAUAUGUGAUCAAUUGAUUGAUUGAGUGAACAUUUAUACAAGUCUUAAUAUGGGCCACACACUGUUCUAAUUGUUUUACAAGUACUAACUUAUUUAAUCCUCUGCAAGAGAAUACCAUUAUUAUCCCCAUUUUACUGAUGAAGAUACUGAGUAUAGAAAGUAACUUUGUCAAGAUACCACAGCUAGUGAAGUAUCAGAAUCAGGCUUCAACCUGGCUAGUCUAGCUAGAGUCUUUACCAUUAACUACUACUUGUUUUAAUUCCAGCCUUCCUUUCCCUUCUCACCUCCCCCCGCCCCUCAUCCAAUCCACUUCCUAUACUAUACCAGGUUAAUCUCUAUUGGGGACAUUUUGACCAUGGAUUUAUUAAACACACCCUUGUAUUUCUGCUUGUGCCUGUACAAGUCACUAAAGGCUCAAGAUACCCUCUGAAUCUUCCAGAAACUCAUAGCUUAGUGGAAGAGACUGACAUCUUGAUGAAUGGUAGCAUGCAUGUUACACAUUUGAUAUGCCUGAAUCCCAUUAGUCUAUUUCCUUUAGAUUUUUGACUCAUGGCGUACACAUGAAAGAAUGGCAAGGGAAAUGAAAAAUGAGACACCAUUUUAUUAAUCCAGGCAAGCACUUCAUAACCCUAAAGAUGUAGGGAUGUUUGUAAACUGUGUUGCCAUAAGCAGCCAAAGCCUGAGGCAUCCUUCACAUAGAUUUUGUCCAUCACAGUAUGAAGCCUGCUGGCAGAUUAUAUGACUGGCCUCAGGUAUCCACAUCUACAAACACUGUAGGCCUGCUUCAUAGAUGUGAGGCUUGAGGAAUUGAGGUUGAACAGUGAACAUGCGUCACUUCCCAAUGUGUUUACCGUUGGGAGGCAGUUCAGUGUCAGACUUUGACCAAGCUGACCAACCAGACCUUCUCUUUGGGAACGGGCUGGAAACACUGUACAUGUCCUAUUGAUUCUGUGUAUGUUGAAAGGAGCAGAGGUCUUCUCCCUUCCCAGAGUGGGAGGAAAGAGAAUAUGGGUUCUCUCCAGCGGUGGAGUAAGACGCACAACCCCAAAGGCGCACUGAAUGUAAAACCACCUGACUCUGACCAGGAAAAUCAGACACUUACCCAAAGAGCAGUCUUUUGAACUAAGACUUGAUGUAAACUUAAUAAAUUUAAGAAAUAAGCAUAAAUGUUUAUCGAGAAGACGAGAGAAGAAAUACGUAUUUCCAGCAAAAGGAAGGACAGGAGCAAAGCUACCCAAGUGGAAAAGAAUAUGGAGGUCCAAGAAGAUGCCAUGGCUAAAAAGGGCUGUAUUUGCAGGGUAAGAUGAGCCCAACGGUUGGGGGCGGGGAGGGAGGGGGUCAGCAUGCGAAUGAAUUUGAAAAAUGGAUUAGGAAUCUGGACUGAAUCCUACGAGUAGUAUUCAAGGUAUGUACCAUGAAUUUCUGAAGUUCUGUGGGGUUUUUGAGGUUCCGCAAACACUUCAUUCGAUACCCUUUAAAUUGCAUUUUUAAACAGUUCUUAAAACAUGUGACCAAAAAUAAUAUAUUCUAAAACUUAACCCCCUGAGCAUUAUCAAUAUAAUAACUACAACCAAGUUAUCUCAUUAUGGGGUAUAUAUUUUAGUCUUUCUGUGCAAUUAUUAUAACUUCUGAUGAAAACGAUUGAUUAGGAAGUUUGCUGAGUUGUCCCAAGCAUGUCUAGUUAAUUGAUAUUAGGGAAUGCUAAGGCAUGUUAAAGCUAGUUUUAGAACCUAUGGUAAGAGGUGUUUUUAUCUGGUACAAGUCUUAUAUUUAUAAAUGCUACCUUUUUAUGUUUUGUGAGGUCAAAUAAUUUUGGGUUUCUGCCUAAAACUAGAAAAUGUAAAAUAAUCGAAGGCCAGUUUCAAGGAGAAAUAACCAAUCAACUGUGCUGUCACCUGAUCAUUUAACCAGUGUUGGUCAUAGUGACAAUACAAAAUAAAAUCAAUUUGUUCUGCUUUUACACAAAAUCACUCACGGGCAAAAAUACUCUGAUCCUAUUUAUUUGGUGCUGGUGUUUAUCUUCAGUUGCAAUAAGAUAGCCCCAUGCUCCACCAAGUUUUAUGCAGUGAGUUUUCCAAAAGAGUUUCUGUGAUUCUAACUAAGUAAUAAUGUCAUUCUGUAAACAACAUAGCGUGCGUGAAAAUAAAGCUUUACACUUCUGUCUGCAAAAAUACAUAACUUCAUGUUAUUUUUAGAAACAUGACUUAAACUUAAAUUUGAUGAUAUUCAAAUACCUUCAUGUGUCACAUGUGUUGGAAAAGCUAAAUUACCAGGACAGAGCUUAUUCAACUUUCUGUUACUGACAUGCACAAAUGUCAUGUGAAUCGCCUCCUAGAAAAUGCAAUCAGCUAACUCAGUCAAGACGAAAACAUCCAUUGUUCUUGCUUUGUGUGAGAUUUUCAUAUGGACUUAUUAUUUUGUGGGAUGCUUGACACACGUACAGCUGGGGGAAAAAUCCAUAAUGUGGGACUGUACUUGGAAUUACUCAGAUCUAGCCUGUUAAAUUUAAUCAUAUUUUCAGAGUUUAAAUAUCUUAAUUUCCAAAGAACAAAGUGAAAUGGGAUGAUAUUUUAGUAUAAAGAAAAUCUGUUUUACAUAUGUAGUUGCAACUGAAUAAUAUAAAGCAACUGUUAACCUCCAAAAUUUAUAAUUGACCAAACUAACUACAACUCAUGAAUUACCAAGUGCCUCGGGCAGUUCGUGCUGCUAUACUAAGAUACCAUAGACUGUGGGUGCUUAAAUAACAGAUAUUUAUUUGUCACAGUUCUGGAGGCUGGAAAAUACAAGAUCAAGGUAGCGGUAGAUUCACUUUCUGGACUGCAGAUGACCAUCUCCCUGCGUGUGCCCAUGGCCUAUCCUCAUGCACGCUUGUGGAGAGAGACAGAGAGAUCUCUCUCUCUCUUCCUCUUCUUAUUAGGGCGCUAAUUCCAUCAUGAGGGUCCCACCCUCAUAACAUAAUCUAAACCUGAUUACCUCCCAAAAGCUCUAUGUCUAAAUACUGUCACACUGGGGUUAGGGUUUCAACAUAAGAAUUUUUCAGAGAUGCAAACAUUCAGUCCAUAACACCAGAAGGUCACCCUGGCAUCUAUAGGGUCAUCUCUGAUACAACUUCCUGCUCAAUUCAUAACACAGGUGAUACAACAGAAAAGCAGAAGAAUGGAAAAACUGUUGUUUCCUAAAUGUGUCCAAGUAGUUAUUCUACUUUUAGUAGGUAGUAAUAAUAAUUAAGAUGUUAUUUUUCGAAAUAGCAUUGAUUAAUGACACACAAGCUGUCCGUUUUGUUAAGGCACCGUCUUUAAACUGCAGAUCUCUCAAUUAUUUGUAGUAAUUUCAGUAACUUCUAGGAUUUCUAUACACUCUUAUUGGUUGUCUUAAGUUAAAAUGCUGAUAAUAUUUCAAGGGCCACCAAAAGUAGUUACCCUUUAUUUCCUAAAACCGAAAUACUCUUCCAUUAGAUAGAACAGAUUAUUAUCUGUAAGCUUAACUACUGAAACAUCCUACCAAUAAAAUUUUUCUAAAAAUAUUUUUUAAAAACACAUUUAAGGGGCGCCUGGGUGGCUUGGUCGGUUAAGUGUCCGACUUCGGCUCAGGUCAUGAUCUCACGGUCCGCGGGUUCGAGCCCCGCAUCCGGCUCUGUGCUGACAGCUCAGAGCCUGGAGCCUGUUUUGGAUUCUGUGUCUCCCUCUCUCUCUGCCCCUCCCCCGUUCAUGCUCUGUCUCUCUCUGUCUCAAAAAUCAAUAAACGUUAAAAAAAUAAAUAAAUAGGGGCGCCUGGGUGGCUCAGUCGGUUAAGCGGCUGACUUCGGCUCAGGUCAUGAUCUCGCGGUCCGUGAGUUCGAGCCCCGCAUCGGGCUCUGUGCUGAUCGCUCAGAGCCUGGAGCCUAUUUCACAUUCUGUGUCUCCCUCUCUCUGACCCUCCCCCGUUCAUGCUUUGUCUCUCUCUGCCUCAAAAAUAAAUAAACGUUAAAAAAAAUAAAAAAUAAAUAAAAAAUAAAAAAUAAAUAAAUAAAUAAAUAAAUAAAUAAAAACACAUUAAAAAAUUGCAGUGACGCUUGAAAAAUUGUUUUCUAGGUUUAUGGGUUAAAAACUUUGAAAUUGUAGCUUAGGUAUACUGGGAUUAAACAAAUCAAUGGACGAUGGAAGGUAAGAGUCAGAUUUCUCAUUGUGGGAGGAAAAAGUUACAUAAGAGCAAGAGGCAAAUGCAAGAAUGAGCCAUGAGGUCCUGCACUAGAAUCAGAGACAUUAGGGGGUUCCUGGGUGGCUCAGUUAGUUGAGCAGUUGACUUCGGCUCCGGUCAUGAUCCCGCAGUCUGUGAGUUCGAGCCCCACGUUGGGCUCUGUGUUGACGACUCAGAGCCUGGAGCCUGCUUCAGAUUCUGUGUCUCCCUCUCUCUCUGUUCCUCUCCUACUCACACUCUGUCUCUCUGUCUCUCUCUCUCUCUUAAAAAUAAAUAAAGCUAAAAAAAUUAAAAGAAAAAGAAUCAGAGACAUUAGGGUGAGCUUGUGUAUAGUUUAUUUCAGAUACAGCUAGAUGGAUAACAGAAAAAAGAAGAACUAUUUGUAUACAUUUCAGAGCUCUGUUCACUAAGUCCUUGAAGCAAUUACGUUCCUACAGUGUGCUCACCCAGUGCUCAGACCUUGUCUUUUAAUAUAUUUCCAAAUAAAGGAACUGGAACUCUUUGGAAAAAUGAUUGUAGCGCUUGGACAGUGAAUAUAUAGAUGAAACUGGAGCCUCUUGCCAUGCCAGAAAGUAAGAAAGUAAGUGCUAAAAGACAAUACAAAACAAAACAACAUGGAAAAAAACCAAAAACCAAGAAACCAAGGAUGGGAAAUGUCAAGGAACAUAGUGCCAUUAAUGGCCAAAUUUGAAUUUUCAAGUAGAAAAGGCUUACCAAGCGCCAGUUCAGAUUACGGCAAAAAGACAGACACAGACUGAAGCAGAAACCAGCAACGUGCUGAAUUCCAAAAACAAAGAGAAAUCAUGUAAAGUUUCUUGAAAGAUGAGGACUAACAAAGGAAGAUAAUAGCUUGUCAUCAGAUUUCUCCUCUGCAACACUGGACAGUGGAAGACAGGGCUUGAGGAAAAGGACAGUGUCCUUGUAGUAUUGUGUAUAGCCAAGCUUUUAUAAAUAAGGAAGGAAGAAGUAAGGCCACACUCAUAUAUUUCAAGUUCCAGAAGCCCAUCAUUCAUCACAAUUGUUCCCCCCACCCCAAGGGAGAAGGGAGAGGCAGUGGAGGGAGAAUUCAAAGUAUUACACCCAAAUAAUAAAAAAAAUCUCUAAAGGUAAUAAUAUCUAUAAAACAGGAGUGGGCAAAGAAUCAUGUGAAAACUUCUAUCAAAAUAAAUUGUGACCAUGUGUUUGCAAGCUGUAAAGUUCUUUGCUAAAAAUGAAGUUUAAAAUUAUCUAAGAGAUUCAGUCGCUGACUCCUACCAAAAUGCAGAAGCAACCUGAGCGGUUGAAAAAUAAACAGAAUUUACUACUCUUCCUUUCAAGUUUCCAGAUCAGUUGAAUUAUUUAAACUUCAAGAUUCUAGACUGCUAUGUAAAAAGGGCUAUUAUCAUUCAUGACUACUUAUCUUUGUGACUCAAUAUUUUUUCUAUUCUGUCCGAAAUAACUUCUUUCCACGCUGAACUGAUACCACACUUCACUAUCAUUCCUUCCUGUCAAUUUAAUAUUAUCAAAAAUAUAUUAAAAUUGUUAAUAUUCUUUAAAACAGUUUCACUGUUCUUAUGUUCUUGAUUCAUAAUAUAGUACAAAUUACGAAGUUGAAUUUGUAAGGUCUAUACUACUAAAACAGUACUUUUUUUUACUCAUUUUAUAUGCGGACGUCUUUUUUUGGGGGGGGGAUUUUCUAUUGAGAAAUAGUUGACAACCGUGGCUGUCGACAGGCUUUGAGUAGGAACAUCGCAUGAACAGAACCGGUAGUUUAGAAAAAACCCCGGUGGCAGUGUGACGAAUGGCUGGAAGAGGAUAGAAAAUACACAGGAGUAGAAGACCUGUAUUAUCCCGGUAAGUACUUGGAUUAUCAGAGCUACAGUCUGUUAAGCACUGGCUGUGUGCCUGGGAUUGUGUCGAGUCCUUCAGAUACAUUCUCCAUCCUCUGUCAUUCUCACAAGGAGCCAGACAGGUGUUAUCACCUUCCUGUUAGUGGCCUGCAGGGGCUAAGUGACUUGUCCAAUCCAGCCUCUUUAUAAGCUACGGGACAGAAUUGUUUUCCGCUAUUUCACAGUACUGUGUGCAAUUUCAAACAAAUAGAUAAUUCUUUUAGGUAUGUUAUUUAUUGCUUUUGAAGUCACCCUAACAUUUAAUAUUAGGAAGCAGUGAGCAAUUAACAUCGAUUUGUAGAUGGCUAAAAGAAUAAACAAAUCUCCCCAAACUGCCAUGUUGUUUCGUUUAUUUUCAACAGUAUUAACUAAGGCGUACACUCUUCUAAUAGCUUUUUUCUCUUUGCUGUUUCCAUUUGAAAUCAGAGUCCAAUUAUGUUGCAAAACCCACAAUUCAGAAGACUGCAGAGAAAUUGUCCUUCUCCAUAUAUUCAUAUAGUAGGACUUUUUCUUAGUAAACUGAAACUUCAAACACAAGUUUUCGAUUGAAAACUUAUCUUAGUUUUUUUUGAAGAUAGUAAAAAUGAAAAAAAAAACCCACACACAUUUGAAUGCAGGAAGCCUUUAAGCACCUUUCUCUCCCCUGCCCUCCCUUCCCCCCAUUCUUCCUGUGAAGCAUCAGAAUAAACAUCCCUCGUUUGAACCAAAUCGCCCACUGCGCGUAGCUGAUAUCAUGAGCACGGAUACAUAGAUCUCAUAAACAGAGCUCUCACACCUUAUCAGAACAUUCUCAUCUGAAAGGUGAGGAUGCUGGGACCCUGCCUUUUUGUACGUGGUCAGAUCAAUUAGGGGUAAAGAGAAAAAGCGCAUGGUGAGGAGGGGGCGGGCCAUUCAGGUUUGUUUAGAUUUCACUUAGCUUAAGUCCAUUAAGGUCUAAUUCAUUAUGUGUUUUACCUGAUUGUGAGCAAGGCAGCUGAAUGUUGUACGGCUUCGUAAUGCUGACAUUUCCUUCACACAAUUUAAAAUUAAACCUUUUAUUAGUUCAGGGAAGGCUGAGGCAGGAAACAAUAGAAGCUCGGGGAGAGUAAUUAUUUCUGUUCCAUUGUGUAGGAUAUUUGAGCUUUUGAUUAGUUGCAAUAUACAGUACUUAACAGCUAACCAAUGUUGCCAUGAUUAACAAUACAUGAGAAGUUUUUUUUUUUUUUAUCUUAACAGUGUGCUGCACACCCCUGAAAUGUUGGCUUUCUCUGUUUCUUGGUGACUUCAAUCUUGUUUUAAAAAUACCUCUCAUUUUCUGGGGUGUUUGAAAACGACCAUGCUAUCAACAGCGUGGAGUAGAAAGCAGCAGGAAUGGCAAGAGGGGAUCACUGUAAAAUGGAUGCAAAAAGCUGUGGGUUGUACACCAUUAAGCGUUCUCAGUGUGUUUCUAAUGAGCUUAUGAUGGCCUCACCGAAUUACUGUUUCUACUCCAGCUCAGUAAAUUACAGUAUGCCCAAAUUAAAUCAGUGGGACUCAAGAGAAGCCAGUCUUCAUCAGGGUCCACAUUUGUAAGAAUUAAAAAAUCAUACUUAAUCAUAUUCAAUCAUGUCCAUUGUCUCCAAAGUAUUAAGCUCAUUUUCUUCCCCCAAAUAUUUGGGUCCUAGAGUUUGCUUUAUGCUCAAGGAGCAAUCUUAUUUCUUUUCCUAUUUUAUACAAGUGCAAUUCUUAUUUCCACGUUUGGUCAUUCCAAAGCACUUGCAGUGUGAAUGCUGAAGAUGAAUUCCAAUUCAAUAAUCACUAUUAAGUGGUAAGAUUAUCAUGAUCACAUCUGUAUACGUUAGUUACUAAAUAUGUGUGGCUUUCUCUUUGAUUUUAAAGUGCUCUAAAAGCUGGGAUUUGGUAAAUUAUAUAUUAUUAGUUAUUAGUUAGAAAUAACGUAUGUCAUUUGGGCUAAAAAUGUUUUUCAAAAGGCUGGAGGAGAGACCACAACACGUGUCAUCUGCUGUGUGAAUGAAUGGCAAUGUGGUAUAGAUAAAAUAAACCACGCCACAUAGAUCAGCUUUCAAGAAUAGAACAUAAAAUGCUGCUAAGUUUAAACUGGGAGAAAUAAAAUUUACAGAAAAGGGGAUAAUCACUGCUUUUUUAUUAUUUCACGUAACUAUUAUGUCAGAUAAUUUGUACUUGUAUAACCCUUCUUGUCUAAGAGUUAAAGAAACAUUACAUGAGCACUUGAGAGGGAUGUGUACACUGCUCUUGUUGGAUAGGAUAUUCUGUAUACUUGUUAGGGCCAUGUGGCUCAUAAUGUUUUUCAUAUUCACUGUUGCCUUAUUGAUUCUCUGUCUGGAUGAUCUAUCCAUUGUUGAGGGUGAGGUAUUGAAGUCCCACAACUAUUAUUGUAUUAUUGUCUAUUUUUCCUUUUAGCUCUCUUAGGUUUUGGCAUAAGGUAAGUGCUCCAAUGUUGGGCACAUAAAUAUUUGCAAUUGUUAAGUCUUCAUGCUGUAUUGACUUCAGGCUAUACCAUAAAGUUAGAGUUAUCAAAACAGUACGGUAUUGGCAUAAAAAAGGAGAGAAAUAGACCAACAGAACAGAACUGAGAGCCCAGAAAUAAACCCAAGUUCAACUAAUAUUUGAUAAGGCAGCCAGGAAUACUCAAUGGAGAAGAGAGCGUCUCUUCAGUAAAUGGUGCUAGAAAUUCACAUGCAAAAGAAUAAAACUGGACCCAUAGCUUGCACCACUUACAAAAACUUACUCCAAAUGGAUUAAAGACUUAAAGACGAGAAACCAUGAAACUCCUGGAAGAAAAGAUAAGGAAUAAAAGGUCCUUGACAUGGGUCUUGUUAAUAAAUAUUUGCUCAUGAUAACUAAAGCACAAGCAGCAAAAUAGAAAAUAAACAACUGAGACUACAUCAAACUAACAAGCUCCUGCACAACAAAAGAAACCUCAACGAAAUGAUAAGACAACCUAAGAGAUGGGAAAAAGAUUUGCAAAACAUAUACCUGAUAAGGGGUUAAUAUCCAAAAUAUAUACAGAAUUCAUACAAACAACAGCCAAACAUAAAUCAUCCAAUGAAAAAAAAAUGAGCAAAGGACCUUGAAUAGACAUGUUUCCAAAAAAGAUGUACAAAAGACCAACAGACACAUGAACUGGUGCCCAACAUGAGUAGUCACCCGGGGAAUACAAAUUGAAACCACAAGAAGGCGUCACGUCAUGCCUUAACAGGCAUGGCCAUCAACAAAAAGACAAGAACUAUCAAAUGUCGGUGAGGAUGUGGAAAAAAGGGGACCCUCGUGCACUGUUGGUGGGGAUUUAAAUUGUGCAGUCACUAUGGAAAACAGUAUGGGGGAUCCUCAAAAACCUGAAAAUAGGAAUACCAUAUGAUCCCGCAAUUCCACUUCUGGGAGUAUAUCCAAAAGCAAUGGACCCACUAAGUGGAAAAGAUAUCUGCAUCCCCGUGUUCCUAGCAACAUUGUUCAUAAUUCCAAGACCUGGAAACAACCUAAAUAUCCACUAAUGGAUGAGCAGAUAAAGUUAUGGCAUACACACACACACACACACACACUGGAAUACUAUUCAGCCAUACAAAAUGAGGAAACCUUACCAUUUGCAACAACAUGGAUAGAACUUGGAAGACAUCAUGCUAAGAGAGAUAUGUCAGAUAGAAAAGACAAAUAUUAUAUGAUUUCAAUUUUAUGUGGAGUCUAAAAACAAAACAAAAUGAAAAAAAAAAAAACCCCAACGUCAUAGAAAAAGACAUCAGGCUUGUGGUUACCAGAGAGAGAGGAUGGGGAAGGGGGGAUUGGAGGAAGGUGAUCAAAAGGCAUAAAUUACAUCAAAAGGGAUAUAAUGUACCACACGAUGACUAUAGCUAAGAGAGCCAUUUGAUAUAUAGGAAGGUUGUUAAGAGGUAAAUUCUGAGGGUACUCAUCACAAGGAGAAAACGUUUUCCUUUUUUUUUAAUUGUAUGUAUAUGAGAAGAUGGAUGUUAGCCGAAUCUAUUGUGAUAAUUAUUUCACAAUAUAUGUAAAUCAAACCAUCAUGCUGUAUCCCUUCAACUUACACAGUGAUGAAUGUCAAGUGUUUCUCCAUAAAACCGAAACAAGGAACAAAGAAUUUCCCAUUGCAUUACAGAUAAUAAAAGGCUGAGCCAGAAUUAAUACCCAGAAAAAAAGAGAAACAUUAUAAACAUUAAACAAUUUAGUUUCACUGUCUUUCUUUCAUAAUUCUCAUUGGUUUGGGCUAUACAGGAAGAAAAAAAAAGGCCCCAAAGAGUAUUUAAAUGGAAUUGACUCCCAGUUUCCAUUUUCUAAAACCAGACAGCAUAAUCCCUACCCAUUAAUGUAUUAAUUGGUUAUCACGUUACUGGUGGAGGGUCAAAUUAGGCUAUUUAAUUUAUAGUAGGGAAUAAAAUUCCUCUCUCCUUUCCCACAGAAUCAAGCCAUCAUCCUGCCAGCCUCUCCCCAUCUGGCUCAAACCACUCUCUGCUUUUCACCGAGAGCAGCUUAACAACAGGACUUUAUACAGUUAUAAAUAAAUAAUCCAGGUUCUCAUUCCUAAAAUGGAACGCAGCACAGAGCUGGUUUAGAAGUUGGCACUGCGCGCCCUGCGUAUGUGAAGCAUCAGCGUUGAUUAGCACAGACAGGAGAUCGGAAAACCAUGAAGCACUUUUGAAACCCUGAUAGGAAGUGACUCUCUCUGGAUGCAGAUUUAUUGAUACUGACAACAUUGUUUUUUUCCCAAUUUUGAAAAAAGUGAAAGUACCUUGUACAUGGAAAAAUACAGAAACCAAAUGAAUAAUGAAAAAAACAACGGCUCAGUAGAACUAAAUGUCCCGAUGCCUGAAAAAGCAUGUGUUUGUGGUUGGAGAGUGGGGAGAAGGAAAAAGGAAGCAAAGAAAAGGGAAGGAGGGAGUAGGGUAGAAGGAAGGAAAGGUUAAAUACAAAAUGCUUUCAGCAGAGGUUUAAAAAAUAAAUAUCCUAUAUGAUUUUCAAAUGUUUGCAAAGAUUCAGUCCUUGAGCUUAUCUACUUCUUUAAAAAGGGUCUAUGAUAUUUUGCAACAUUAGCCUGAAAUCCGGAAUCUUGAGGAAUGUCAUCCCACACCUUAUAUAUUCAUACUGGCCAAGGAAAGAAAUUGGUGUAAAAGUGAAUCCCUUACAAAAAAGAAAGAUAGAUGGUGAAAAAAGAAAAGAGCAAGAAAAUUGCCUUAAAACACAUAGCAAUCUUCUCAAAUGUCAGUCUCUUGAUUUUUUUUUUUUUGGUUGAGAAAAAAGGAGAGAGUUUUUACCAAGCCUUUCCAAAUUUGUAUGUGGUUAAGUCAAAAAUUGAGUCACCGAAUGGCUGCAUUACAAGAAAAUCCCAGUACUGUAAUUCAAUCUUCCUCAAUAUCGUCAAACACUCUCUUUACUGACACCACAGGGGAGAGAGCUAGAAAUCACUCAACAUUGGAAGUGACGACGUUUAUUGCACGAUCGGGAGGCUGUUCUGUCCCAUUCCAGGGCUGUGUUCAAAGGAGGAUAUUCGCCUUUGGGUGCAAAACAGCGGGGUGGCUCUCAGGUCUGAGAGUGCUCUUUCUGGACUCUGCUCCAGACUCCUUAAAUAGACUUUUUGGGCCAGACGAGGUGUUCCUUCACUCUUUAUGACGGCUCUGUCCCAGUAAACACACUCAGAACAAGCAGACCUUCAACUACAUCCUUCCUCUGGGAUAAAACUCCCAAGGUAACCCCAUCCUAGUAAGUGCCAUACGUAGCACAGACCCUUAAAGGAGCUAAACACUGUCUUAGAACAACCAUUGAAUCCAUCAUAUGAAACUAAAGUUGGGGUGGGGGGGGGUGGGUGGAGGGCCACUCAGUCAUUGCAGAAAGGAUGACAUCGGUGGGAGUCUUUGAUCCAAGAAUGGCCGUAGCCAUAUCCGUGGUACAAUCCUUAAAGGCAAAGAAACAGGUAAAAAAAUAUUGAUAUGAUAAACGUGAUAGAAGUGAACUUACUCUUCUCCCCUAACACAUGUGAAAUUUCCCUUGGAAUUUCUUGUGGGUAUAGAUUGAGUUCCCUGCAUAUGGUGGGUGGACAACAACUAUCGAUGAUCAUUUUCAUGACCUGGCAAGGAAUGCGAAGUUUCCAUGGGAGAAAAUAAACCAUUAAAAAACAAACAAACAAACAAACAAACAAACAAACUUCAGGUGACCAAAAAUAAUAUUCAUCAGGAUGUCGACAAAGGAUCAGAAUGGGAAGAGAAUAAAAAUAUGCAAGACAAACAGUAUUUUCUCUAUUUUUUUUUACAUUUAUUUAGUAUUGAGAGACACAGACAGCACGAGUGGGAGAGGGGGAGAGAGAGAAUGAGACACAGAAUCCAAAAGCAGGCUCCGGUCUCUAAGCUGUCAGCACAGAACCCGACAUGGGGCUCGAACUCACGAAUCGUGAGCUCAUGACCUGAGCCGAAGUCAGACGCUUAACCGACUGAGCUACCCAGUCGCCCUCAACAAACAGUAUUUUCUGAGUGGAAAGUCAAUGAAGUGAAAAGGGCUUAGCAGUUGCCGCCAAAGAAACACAUUAAGAAGGGAUAGGAGACUUUUGAAGGCAUAAUAUUUGUUAAAUUGGCAUUAUCUAUUAUAUAAUUUGAGGGAGUUAUUGGUCUGCAGGGGUGCUUGGGCAAGGAGAGAGACUAUAGCUUAAUUCAGUGUCCAGAGUGUCGAGGAAACUGUUACCCAUACGUGAAAGAAUAAACAAGCUGGUGGCCGUACAAGCCAGAGGAGGUGGUCUACCCUCGUCAACAUCAUCUUGACUGCCUCCCGAGCUCAUUGCCAAGGCCAACAUUAUUAGUUUUUUUCCUUUCAAUACUUUUAUUUUUUAUGUUUUUUUUUUUUUUAAAUUUCAGCAGUCUAUCAUUUUAAUUAUGAGGUGAUAAGUAUUUCAAUUCUGUUAUGUGCCUAUCUAAUACAGGGAGAUGAAUACAAAUCUAUUUAUCCACCUGUCUAUAUCAUUUUUUAAAAAUAUAAUUUAUUGUCAAAUUGGUUAACAUACAGUGUGUACAGCGUGCUCUUGGUUUUGGGGGUAGAUUCCCGCGGUUCAUCACUUACAUACAACACCCAGUGCUCAUCCCAACAAGUGCCCUCCUCAAUGCCCCUCACCCAUUUCCCCCUUCCUCCCAUCAACCCUCAGUUUGUUCUCUGUAUUUAAGAGUCUCUUAUGGUUUGCCUCCCUCCCUCUGUGUUUGUAACUAUUUUUCCCCUUCCCUUCCCCCAUGGUCUUCUGUUAAGUUUCUCAAGUUCCACAUAUGCACGAAAACAUAUGAUAUCUGUCUUUCUCUGACUGACUUAUUUCACUUAGAAUAAUACCUUCCAGUUCCAUCCACGUUGCUGCAAAUGGCAGAAUUUCAUCCUUCCUCGUUGCCAAGUAGUAUUCCAUUGUAUAUAUAAACCACAUCUUCUUUAUCCAUUCGUCAGUUGAUGGACAUUCAGGCUCUUUCCAUAGUUUGGCUCUUGUCUGAAGCGCUGCUAUAAACGUUGAGGUACAAGUGCCCCUAUGCAUCAGCACUCCUGGAUCCUUUCGAUAAAUUCCUAGUAGUGAUAUUGCUGGGUUGUAGGGUGAUUCUGUUUUUAAUUUUUUGAGGAACCUCCACACUGUUUUCCAGAGCGGCUGCACCAGUUUGCACUCCCACCAACAGUGCAAGGGGGUUCCCGUUUCUCCACAUCCUCGCCAGCAUCUGUAGUUUCCUGAGUUGUUAUUUUAGCCACUCUGACCAGUGUGAGGUGGUAUCUCAGUGUGGUUUUGAUUUGUACUUCUCUGAUGAUGAGUGAUGUUGAGCACCUUUUCAUGUGUCUGUUAAGGCCAACAUCAUUCUUGCUAGACCCUGAACAUUCUAAGAGUCUAAAAGCCCUCUGUGCCUUCAUUCUUGGGUUCUGCAAUACUUGAUUCUGUCUAACCCCAUUAGUACAAAUAGAAAGCAUUCACAGACUUGCUGAGGACAGCAGCCCAGAGGACCCAGAGAGACAUGGGCACAGAUGGAUGGAUAACAUAAUAAUGACAGGAGGCUAAGCCUACAUUGUACAAAAUGGGGAACCAAAAGAUCCCAUGAUGCCUGUCCGCCUCAUUCUUCAACCUCCCACAGCAUAUGUAAAAUAUGUUGGGAUCAAGCUAGGCUUUGAGGGAUCUGAAGGAAAUUACUUUGUUCUCUGAGUUCAGUUCCCUCAUCUAUAAAACCUGGGAAAAUACCUGCCUCAUACGUAUUUUUAGAGAAUUAAAUAAAAUAAAGGUAUGCAAAUAUACUGGCAUUAUGCUCACACAUAGUGGCCAGGGUUCAAGUUCACUUCUCUCACCUCAAAACAGAGCCCUUAUUUAGGAAGAGAAAAAGAAAGCUCGCUCUCUAUUCAGAGCAAAUCUCUGGCACUUCUCAGAAAAUGAAUUUGGUAAGUGUGAUUUUCUUUUUAACUUACUGGAUAACAAUAUAAAUGUAUAAAAGAUAAGAAAAGCUCAGCGCCACCAGGGGCAAUUUAAUACUCAAUUUCAAAGACAACAUGAGUUUGGAACUUUGAAGAAGAGAGACUGGUGAUACAUAAUUUAAUCUAGUUCUCAAGUGCUUACAUUUUAAUUUGGAUUGUUUAAACACCACUCAUGAGACUACAGGGACUUUAAACCAUAUCACAAAUCACAGAAUGAAGCACUUUAUUUUUCAGGCAAGUUUAUUAAGGGUAGGCAGUUGAAUGACAAGUAACUAGAGUAAUCAUGAAAACAUUUUUUCGUGAUGAAGACGGAUGGCGGUACUCCUGCUUAGGUAAUACAGUUAGGUGGGCAGUUUAUACUUUUUAGAAAGAUGUCAUAUCUGGAAUGUUCCUCCCUCUUCAGAUAAGACUAGUUUCUGAUUUAGAAAGGGCUUUGGAAUCUAUCCUACGGUGUGUUUGGUGGUUAAAAACAAAAGUUUAGACAUAUCAUAAGCAACAUCUAAGAGACUCCUUAGAAAGAUAGCUUAUUAAAGGGAAAACAAACUGGUAAUCGUCAAUUUCGUCUCCAUUUAAAAGUCUCUCAGAGAGAAGCUAGUUCAAUUAUUUCAAAUGGAGUGAUCCCAGUGUGAUGUCGUUUACGUAGAAAGACGCAGAUACAUUUGACAAAACAUUUAAAUUUUACACACAUAUAGAUAUAUAAAUGCUAAGGAAAUAGAGAUUACGAAGGAAAUAUAUCAAACUCUGAAACCUUUGGAAAGCACUGACGUUUAGUGUUGGGAAAGGAGGAGAAAGACCACAGGGAAAUAAUGGCUGCCCUCAACCACGAUGAGGCAGGGGUUUAUGUCUGAAAGCCAGGAAUCGGUAAAAUUGCUUUUCUUGACUUCUAGAUCUAAAACAAACAAACCAAAACAUUUCAAGCAUCCUAGCGAAGAGGUUAAGAACCUUUCCCUUUAGAAAUCAAAAGUAUACACAAAACUGGAAAAGGCAGAUUCAGUAUUGACACAGCGUGUCUAAGAAUGAGAUAGCUUAUAUUGCAAAACAUAAAUAGUUUAAUAAGCUAAUAGUUUUGAUGAAGAAGUAUUGGUAGAGUAGAAUGCAAAAUACCGAUGGAUUUGUAACAAAGUUUGUUUUUCUAAUCUGUAAUUUUUUCUCUCCUAACGUUCUUGCUUGGUAAACUAGAAAUUGAGCAGACGAUGUCAGUACUUGUAUUAGCUGUCUGUGAACUAAAAAUUGUUCUGGUGGAUUGGUAUUUUAUCAUUAUGCAAUGUCUCUCUUCACCUUUAGCAAUGAUGAGAGCCUAACCAACCACUGCGAAUGCUUAGGAUAGCUGUAUUAGUUUAGUGUUAGCUACGAUGACUUUUCCCAUUCUUUCCCUUUCAACUUUUCUGUGUUCUUAAUUUUAAGGCGUGUCUCUAGUAACAGCAUAUACUUGGAUUUUUUUAAACCACUCUGACAGUACCUAUAUUUUGAUUGGAAAAUGAAUUACAUUUACAUCUGACGCAUUGACUGAAAUAUUUGUGUUGAAACCUACAUCAUCCUACUUGGUUUCUAGUUUUCUAUCUCCUUUUGGGUCUCUUUCCCCCUAUUUUGUGCCUUCUUUAAAAACAAAAAAAAUCAAGCAUUUUUGUCCCAACGUUCUCCUGUAUUACAUGUUGGUUAUACAUUCUCCCCCCCCCCCCACUUAAGCUGUUACCAUAGAAAUCAGAACAUUCAUUCUGGACUUAUUGAAGGUUAAUAAACUUAGUACUUUUACAACAUCCCAGAUGGUGAAAGAUCUGAAUAUUUUAAAUCCAUUUACCCUUUUGUGCUAUUAUUUUCAUGUCAUUUGUUUCACCUAUAUGCCUUAGUUUGGCUUUCCCCUCUCCCCCCAAAACAGAUCUUAGGACAAAAGUUAGAGCUCAGAGCUUAUUUGGAAAUGGAUCCCAGAAGGAAAGUGAUCAAGUGGGGAAGGGAGGAAAGUAAAAAAAAUAUGUAUUAAUGAUCAGGUCACACAGUUUGGGGACUUAAAUGUAUUCGGGGCUGUACUGGUGGUACAUGAAUGGAGUUUCCACCAUUUAUUGCUGUUUCAACAUUUACUGGUGCGGUUUCCACCAUUUAUUACAUUCUCAAUUUCAAGGAGUGUAGUUUUCAGGAACAACACGUGCAUUUGAUUGUUUUUUUUAUUAAUUCCAGUUUUCGGUUGAAAUUCGGAUGAUGACCCAAAGAAUUUUGCCAGAGAACUUUUAGCCUUAUUAAACUGCUAUGCUCCAAUCUGUUUCUACCUCCAAUGUUGGGCCUAUGUGUUAAUCUGGUUCUGUACAUGUUUCCUCUUUAUUUUCAUUCAUUUGGUUCUGACAUCGUGUGAAGUUCUGGAUUAUGCUAUCUUCCUCCAGAGAGGAUUUGUUUCUCUUCUGAUAAGCAGUUAGAAUAAACGCUGAUCUCCUUCAGUCAGUCAAGGUUUCUGUCUGUGUCACAGCUGCCCUAGACCCUCUGCUUUGAUUCGCCUUUCGCAAGGCUCGACAGGAAUCCUGGGGUAUUUUCCUUCCUAAUGGGCCUUGAAUCUCCAUUUUUCUUUCUUUUUCAUCUGAUUACUGAAACUGUUGGAAACUCGGCUGAAAUUUCUUAACUGAAGGUGUCUUCCUGUCUUUCCAGUUUCUCACUUGAUGCUGUUUAGGAAUCAGAAGGUGCCAGAAAGGGGAAGAGAAGCAGAGAAGGUAGGGCUCACUUUAAAGCAUUUCUCUUUUCUCCAGAAGCUUGGUCCCUUAAAGCCUUGUCUAACAUUGUUUUCUUACUCCUAAAAUAGCUCCUUUCUUUUUUUAUCCAGUUUUUAUUUAUUUUGCCUUUGGUGGGAUCGUUGGUUUAAAUCAAGCUAUUCUCUCAUAGCCAGAAGCCAGAUUAUUGUGGUAAGGUGGAAAUUCUCAUUUAUUGUAUGGUCUUAGUGAAUGACACCAGAAGUAAACGUGGAGACAUUUUUCACUGAGAGUCUCUGGAGAUUUUGGUUCCUCAUAAUUAUUAGUACUCUACGAGUACAUGCCAUAUAGAUAUUUUUAAUUUUUAAUGUUUAUUUAUUUUUGAGAGAGAAGGGGAGGGGCAGAGAGAGAGGGAGAUAUAGAAUCGGAAGCAGGCUUCAGGAUCUGAGCUGUCAGCACAGAGCCCGACAUGGGGCUAGAACUCAGAAACCAUGAGAUCAUGUCCUGAACUGAAGUCAGACACUUAACCACCUGUUCCACCCAGGUGCUCCUGCCGUAUUUUUUAUGAAGGUAGAAAUAAUACGAGGAAAAUGUGUAUAGACCUCAGCAACUUAUGAGUAUAAAUACCUCUAUCUUUUUUACGUCCUCCGAAAUUACCAAAACACCCCAGGUGAUUAUCUCUUCUAAUCAAUUAAUUAACAAUUUAAUUAAUUAUCUCAGUGAGAGGUAAAGAUUUAAAACAUAUAUUAAUUAUUUGUUCCUCUGUGCUCAGACUUAUUCUUUUAAAGUUUUUUUUAAUGUUUAUUUAUUUUUGAAAGAGAGAGGGAGAGAGAGAGAUUGCACAAGCUGGGGAGGGACAGAGAGAGACGGAGACACAGAAUCUGAAGCAGGCUCCAGGCUCUGAAUUCUAAGCACAGAACCCGGUGUCUGUCUUGAACUGAUGAACAGCAAGAUCAUGACCUGAGCCUACCUUAGCUGCUUAAACAACUGAACCACCCAGGUGCCCUUCAGAGCUAUUAUAAGCACUAAGAGCUACGGCCGAGGAAGGUAGUAGUAAGAAAAAAAAUAAGAUCUAUAAUAAAUAGUCCUUAUUACCAGGACAUUUAUAAGCAAGUUUUUCAGAAAAGACUAGCAAGUAUAAGAAAUCACUGAACAAGUAAAUGUGGAUUAAGUCACAUUGAUAGUAAGUGUAAAGGAGUAACAAUAUAAAAAAGAUCCACAGGGACAAUGUCUAAUGAGGUGUUAGAUAUUGAGCCAUUAUUGUGAUAAAGUUAUUUGGUUAUUUGCAACCAAAAUUUCUACAAAGAUUAGUUGGUUUCAGAGAUUUUAUGAUAUCCUCAGAGCACAAGAGCUAAUUUAUGCAACAUGUUUAUUCCCAGAAUCCAUCAUAAUCUCCGUUACAAGUCCCAGAAUGAGAAACUGAACAUGCACGUCCGCACAGAGAAUAUUCUAGUCAACGAAUAAACUCUAAGAACAAACUCUCUUUUUAUGAGGUUACAUUCUCCAGCCAAGAACACAUUAGGAACACUUGCUAAUAGAAUUAUUUGUAUUUUUGCAAAUAUGAAAUGAAAUGAGUCUGUUCCUGACACUUUUCACAAGGAAACCGGACAAUUUCUUGUGGUGAUAUUCAGUUUCAUUGUUUUGGCCAAAGAGAUCAAAGGACUCAAUUAUGUUAGGUUCUUAAUCAUUUUUAAGGUUACACACUUUCAUUUUCAUUUUUAUUUAUGAUUUUGCCAGGAAUCAUAACAUCUCCAUGACAUGCUUUUAGAAAAAAAAUUGCAAUAAGAACAUGGGAUUGAAAUGGUAGAUGCUUUAUAAAAAGUAACAGGUAUUUUUAUUAUACAGCCAUUAUCUUUAUUAUAAAAUUUCAGUUGAUGAAGCAAAACUGGGUAGAAAAUCGUUGUAAAUAUCAGUUAUAAAUGAAUGCAUAGACACAACAGUAUGCUAAGUGCUAUAGCAAAAAAGGUGAAACGGAGUCUAUCUAUGUGUGAAUAUAUGUGUAUAUAAAUGCACACAUAUUACAGAAAAUACGACACGGCUGUAACAACCAUACUAAAAUAUAUGGAGUACUACUUUAAAGUUCAGUUAAUGCAAGUGACAACCAGUUAUAAGACAUAAUGGGAGAAAAAAAACCUUUGAUAGUAGCAACAGAACAGCUAAAGUACUGAAGACAAGCUUAAGCUUAACAAGUAAUGGACAUCUUCAGCCAUAAGAAGAAAAUUUUAUAAUACUGAGACACAAAAGAAGAUUUUCAUAUAAACAAAUAGAAAUUUUGGCUAUGUUCUUUUUUUUUUUAACGUUUAUUUAUUUUUGAGACAGAGCAUGAACAGGGGAGGGGCAGAGAGAGAGGAAGACACAGAAUCUGAAACAGGCUCCAGGCUCUGAGCUGUCAGCACAGAGCCCGACGCGGACCUCGAACUCACGGACCGUGAGAUCAUGACCUGAGCCGAAGUCGGAUGCUUAACCGACCGAGCCACCCAGGCGCCCCUUGGCUAUGUUCUUGAGUAGGAAAAAACAACAUAAUGCAGUCAGAUCUCCUAAUAUUAAUCUUAUUGAUUAGUUGGCCAAAUAUACAUGAAAAUUUUAGAAAAAUGUAAUGAUUUGGAUUGCCUUUGUAAAUUAUUAAGCCACAUUACAAAGCUAACUAUAUGAAAAUAGAGUGGUACCUGCUAAUACUGAUAAAACAGAAUAGAAAAUCCAUCUAAAUCCAUAGGAAUUUUUUUCAUUUGAUAAAGAGAGCACUCCAAUUAAAAAAAAUACAUACAUAUAUAUAUAUAUAUAUAUAUAUAUAUAUAUAUAUACAUGUUCCUAAGUAAAUUAAACUGAGUCAAGGGUAAGCCAUUUUGGAAAAAAAAAUACAUAAAUUUGGAUUCCUGCUUCACACACAAUAAACUCUAGACAGAUAAAAGAAUUAUAAAUGAAAAAUUAAUCAUAAGCUAUUAAUGGAAAAAAACUGAAACAUAGAAUUCUUUUACAGUCUCAGAAUGGUGAAGGCCUCUUAACUAUUGCACAAAAUUUUAGAAGCCUUGUACUAACAUAUUGGUAAAUUCAACUAUAUAAAAUACAAUAUUUCUGUGUGAAGAAAAAUAAACAAAAUCAAAAGAUAAGUGACAAAAGAAAAAAUUGCAACUUAUAUCACAAAUUAUUAAUUUCCUAACGUGUAAGCAUUUCUACCAAUUAAUGAGAAGCUCUUCAAAAACAGUUGACAAUUUGCAAAGCAUAUGAAAUACCAGAUUACAGAAAAUUAAAUGCAAAUAUUUGACUCCUAAACAUAUUUAUAAUAUGUUUAUGAUAAGGAAAAUAUAAAAUUAUAAUUUCAAGAUACAGUUUUCACUUAUACGUAUUGACAACUAUUAAACAAUUUGAUAACACAAAUGAAGUCUCAUACUUCUUGCUAGAAGUAUAAACAGAUACAACUAUAUGGAAGGCAAUUUAACACUAAUUAGAAAAAUGUUUUCUGAUUAUGCAUUGCCCUUAUUCGUAUUCUGCUACUGGGGAUUUAUCUUACAUUUGUAUCCACAUGUGUUUAAAACAACUUAUGCUUAGUUACUCACUGGGUACUUUUUAAUAUUGCAAAAAUUUUGAAUGAAAUAUGUUUUCAUCAUUAAAGGAAUGGUUAAGAUUACUAUGUCACUUUUUAAUAAAGCAUGUUAUCUAAAAGAAUUAGAAGUUGACAUAUGUCAAGAGAUCAAAAAUAUCUAAGGUAUAUUUUUAAGAGAAAAAAUAAGAUGAGAAUUGUGUUUUUGGAAAACUACCUUUUUGGGACUGAAUUGCGAUCCCUCAAAAUUCAUAUUUUGAAGUUCUAAACUCCAAUACCUCAGAAUGUGACUGUAUUUGGCCAUAGGGUCUUUUAAAAGGCAAUUCAAGUAAAAUGAAGUCAUAUGGGGGCCCUAAUCCAAUAUGGCUGCUACCCUUAUAAGAAGAAAUUAGAACACAGGACAAAACAUACAGACCUGGGAGCAACCGUGUGAGAACACAGUGUGAAGGCAACCACCAAAGAGACAGGAUUCAGAAGAAACCAGAUCUGCCAACACUCUGAUCUUAGACUUGUGGCUUGUAGAACUGUUGUUUACAUGUCUGUUGCUUAAGCACAGACCAGUCUAUGGUGUUUUCUUAUGGCAACCUGGGCAGACAGAUACACUACCAUUUGUGUAAAAAUCGCAUAUAUAUACACGUACAUAUGAAUUUGCUUGCAUAUGUAUAAAAUAUAUUUAAGGAUAGAGAGACAAGCUGGUUGCAGUGUUUUCUGUGGGAAAAGUAACUGUGUUGUCAACGGAAAGGUGUGAGAGAGACUUCUGGAAAGAGCAAUGCCCUUAGAACCAGGAGAAAAGUUUGAGUAGCAGUCCCUGUCCACUUAAUUAGCAUGUGCCCUGGAAGAAAAUCAUUUAGCCAUACAGUGCCUUGACUAGACAUCUUUUUUUUUUUUACAGUUUAUUCAUUUUUUUGAUAGAGACAGAGAAUGAGUGGGGGAGGGGCAGAGAGAUAGGGAGACACAGAAUCCGAAGCAGGCUUCCAGGCUCUGAACUAACAGCACAGAGCCCCACGUGGGGCUCGGACUCACGGACCAUGAGAUCAUGACCUGAGCUGAAGUCGGAUGCUUAACUGAUUGAGCCACCCAGGCACCCCUCAACUAGACAUCUUUAAAAUAGGUGCAAUGAGACCACUAAAUGAACAAUAAGACCACUACAAAUGAACACAUAAUCCAUGCUGUAUCAUUUGAGAAGUUUCUCUCCACUUAGGAAAAAAGUGACAACUGAGGAAAUAUAAAUACGUGAACAUUCAGUAUCUAAUCAAAAACUUAGUCUCACGUGUCACAAAGACUAAAGUUCAGAAGAGCUGAGGAUGACAAUUGCGUUAGGUUGGUCCUAAGCAAGGAAAACAACUAAGAAAUAAUUUUCUUGAUUAUGGACAGAUGGUAUAAACUUAGCAAAAGAGAGAAAGGAAAUAGGGAUCCCCUAUUUUAUUUCUGUGCUCCCUGUCAAGGAGAAUGAUCUUCAACCUGGAAACGGAGGAAAAGCUAUUGGGUGGGGGGAAUUGAAACUGAAAGAUAAGUGAACAGAUUGUAAAAGAGCAUUCAGCUUCUCAAAAUAAAUCCACUUUUCUGGACCCAGAUGAAUGGUUCUAUGGUACUGACAGAACUUGCCACAGAGAGCCCUUGGCUACUAUCAGUAAUCAUUAAGGAGAUAGUAGAGAAGAAUAAAGCCCAUCCUGGCUUUAAAAAGCUUUGGAAGGUGCCUUCAACAAACCAUAGAAGCGUCACCUUUUUCCUUUUACUCUUGAUUUCUCAAACUUGUUAUGUUUGUGGAGAAUGAAAGCCCGUCUCUGGAGCAAAUAGUUAAUUAUUUGAGAUAGGAGCUUGUGGAAAGGAAAUUCGUAAUCGCUGGAAACCAGACUGGGUACGCACAAAGAACAAAUAAAGAAUCAUGACGGGCCAACUGCAGAGUUGAUCUUUUGCUUUUUUUUGUUCCUGCAAAUUACUUUUUUCAUAUCUCUAUUAUGGCCCAUGCGAUGUUCUGAAGUAUUUGCUUACAUACAUGUUUCCCUAAAUAUACUGUGAGUUCCUCAGGAUAUGGAUGAUGUUCUAUUUUAGACUCCGAGCUUUUAAAAUCCUAUUCAUUUUUUUUUUUUUUUGGAAGCUUAGGAGCAGUAUCUGCUGUAGGCAGAGGACAUGUGGGUUUCAUCAAGCCAUUUGACAAAAUUUCUAAUUAUGGAUGUUUGGUCACAGUGGAGAAAAUAUCUACAAUUAAUAUUUGUAGCUUGUUAAAACCCACUAUGCAAGGGGCAUUGGUGAGUAGAUAUUAACUUGAGGGAGAUCUGUAUGUACUCAGUAUAAACCCUUAUCUUCAGCUCAGCUCUGUUUGAAGAUGUAGAUGUCAUAGACACAGAAAAUUUAUGAUUCAUAUAAUACUGAUUGAGUAGUACUAGUUUUGUAUCAGGGAUAAAACCGUAGGCAGGGCGUGCUUAGUCCCCGCCAUUGGAGCAUUUGUAGCAUAAGAGAAGAAACAUAUAAAUACAUUGAAGUAAAAUACAAGAGUUGUCAGAGGAAACUCCAGAAUUUUUCUAUAGGAUGAGUUUAAUGUUGGCGAUCUGGUGGAAGGUGUGCCUACGAGGCUCAUCUUGAGGCUGUAUCUGCUCAGUCAGGACUGGUUUUACUUAACUCUACAUUCAUUUGAGCAUGUUUGGGGUGAAGAAUAUUCUGGAAGACUAUGAGAAUGUGAGUUGAGGAUGAAGCUUCUAGACAGUGCUAUGAGAGAGAAAGUACAGAGGGCUAUGGGGUUACAUAGUAGUGGAAUCACCUAAUCCCUAUCCAUCAGGUAUAUGAUCUACUUUAGUGGAAGUGAUGCUGUGUCUGAAUCAUGAAGAUAAGUGAAGGAAUAGGUGGAGAAAAAGACAAAUGUUGCAGGCAGAAAGAGCAAUAUACCUGCCAAGUUAUAGAAGCAGGAUCAUGACAUCUUAGGAUAUUCAGAAAUGUAGUAUGAUUAGAACACAGACUGAGAAUGAGGAAGUACAACAUGAGGAGCCACAGAGAAUAGCCUUGUUUGCAAAGGUACAGUCUAUAUUUAUCCUUUGAGUAAUGCAAGCAAAUGUAGGUUUUUAACACUAGAAUAUAACAUAUUCAGUGUGUUUUGAGGAAGUUCCUUGGGAUGGAGAACAGAUUGGAGAUGCUACAUCUGGAGGCAGGUAGUCCACUUAGGAAGCUCUUAUAGGACCAAGAGAUAUUGGUGGCUUUCCUGGGGAAAUGGGAGAGCCAAGGAAUGAUGAGGUAGUGACAUGGUAACAUUGAUAGAAAUGAGGGAUCUAUUGCAUGGGUUGCAUGGGGUAAAGGAAAAAGGAGAGGAGUCAUAUUAAAUUGCAUCGUUGUCAGCUUGGGCUGUGGCUUUUAUUGAGUUGGGACACAGGUGGAACAGAAUGCUUGGAAUUGGAAGGGAAGAUGAGGAUUCAGUGUGGUAGAUACUUAGCAGAAGAGAGACUACAAUAAAGAUAACAAUGUAUUUAUUGCAGCAUUAUUUGCAAUGGCCAAGAUAUGGAAGUAAACUAAGUGUCCACCAAUAGAUGAAUGGAUAAAAAAAGGCAUGGUAUAUAUUCACAAUGGAAUAUUAUUCAGCCAUCGAAAAAUCUCGCCAUUUGCAACAACAUGGAUGUAUCUGGAGGGUGUGAUGCUAAGUGAACUAAGUCAGAGAAAGACAAAUACUAUAUGAUUUUACUUAUAUGUGGUAUUUAAGAAACAAAACAAAUGAACAAACAAAGAAAAAAAGUGACAAACAAAAAACCCCAGAGUCUUAAAUACAGAGAACAAACUGGUGGUUUCUAGAGGGGAGGUGGUGGGGGAGAUGGGAGAAACAGAUGAAGGGGAUUAAGAGAACACUUACUGUGAUGAGCACGGAGAAAUGUGUAGAAUUGUUGAAUCACUAUAUUGUACACCUGAAACUAAAAUAAUGCUGUAGGUUACUUGUACUUGGAUAAAAAAAGAUAAUUAUAUGAGAUUCAAUAGUAUAUUGAUUUAUUAUUAUUAUUAUUAUUAUUAUUAUUAUUAUUUUGUCAUCCUUGCCUUUAAGAACCUCAUUAACAGUAUGGUGCAAAACAAACAUAUGCACAGCAAUGUUUAUGAGCCCUCUAAGGCCCUUUGGAUUCUAGAUUAAGAACCCUUGUUAAGGGAAUUGAUCGGAUCACUUAAAAGGUAUGUGUACAUUGAAAUGGAAGAAGUCUUAUCAUGGGACCAUGAGGAAUCAUAGGCAGAGAGUAAGAAAUUUAUCAGAUAACCAAGGAAGAGAAGUCAGAGAGUAAAGAGAAAAACCAGAAGAGUGUCAUGGAAACCAGCUGAAAAUAUCUUCACUUUGAGAAACUUGUUAACUGUUGUAAAAGAUGGAUUUGCCAAUACACUGAAUGAAUAAAUGUGAGAAAGUAAAUAUUUCAAGCAGCCAGAGUGAUACAACAAAUCCAAUAAGAAGGAAUUUAAAUAUUAUUAAAUGCAAAACCCAGGGGGACCUGUGUGGCUUAAUCAGUUAUGCGUCCGACUUCAGCUCAGGUCAUGAUCUCACAGUUCAUGGGUUUGAGCCCCAUGUCGAGCUCUGUGCUGACAGCUCGGAGCCUGGAGCCUGCUUCGGAUUCUGUGUCUCCCUCUCUCUGCCUCUCCCCUUCUUGCGCUCUGUCUCUCUCUUGCAAAAAUGAAUAAACACUAAAAAAAUUUAAAUAUUAUUAAAUACAAAAUCUUAUACUUGGAUCCAAAAAGCCAGCUGGAAAAUUAUAGAAAAGUAACAUUUUUAUUUAAUUGAACUACAUAAAAAGCUUUAGGAUUAAUAUGUAUCAAUAGAACAAUCCUUGUCUACAAUAAUGUACAUAGAAUGGGAAGAAUAAGUAAUAGUCCCAUGUGUAGUCCUAAAUAGUUUGAGAUCUUCUUUUGUAAAACAGAGAGGUUAGAAACAUUGGUGUCUUAGAAAAUAUAAAUUGAAUCAAUGGAUGCAAUGUUGAGGGAGGAUGAUUUUAUGUCACCAAUUCAGGUAAGAAUUCCUAGUAAUUACUUCUGUCUAGAAAUGUCUGCUUUUCAAAUCAGUAUAUUCCUCAACAUUGUGGAAACAGCUUAAGCAGAGGUUAGAUGAUAAAUUUCUGCAAAAAUAAAGAGAGUUAUCAGACAGUAAUUAGAGGUUGGGACUGAAUGACCCUUAAGUUAUAUUCUAAUUUUACUAUUUUAAGAUUUGAAGAUUUCUACCAAAAAUUUUAAAAUAUAAGCAUCAGUAAAUCUAGAGAAAACUAUGUGUUCAACAGUCAUUUUAUUGUCAUAUACAUUGUAUCAUUAUAAUAUAUUUUAUUAGUGUAUACUCUAUGUUUAGUCAUUCCUACCUGGUAGUGAUUUUAUAAACACUUUAAAUAAGAAGUUAUAUCGUGAGCACUCAAGUGUUAAUUUUUUUUUUAAAGUUUAACCAUUUGGAUGCUAUAAAAUAAAAGGUAGCUGCUAAACCAAUUAUUAAUUAUGCAAAAAAGUAAAUAAUGAAUGUGCCUAUAACAUUCAGGCAACAGAGGUGCUUAUUAAAGUAAUAUUUAAAAAUAAAACAUUUCACUUCCAGAACUAUAUGAUACAAGUAACUUUCAUUAAACUCUUAAUACUUGAACUCGAUCAUGGCUUUGAAAAUCUUGAUGAAAAUGGAGACACAACUAUUUUAACUGAUAAAGAAAAAGGAAAGUUUCUAUAAAACUUGAGGCAAACAAUUUUGUUGGAAACAAUAAUAACACCAAGAAUUUUCCCCCUUGUUUUCAGACAAUGUCAUAACACCACUGAGAAAAGCGGCUUGAAAAUGAAAAUAAACACACUUCUCAUCAAAAGAGAGGAUUUGUACAAAGCGACCUGUAUUUUAUGUGUGAUGUUAUUCAUCCAUGGUUGUAGAAAGCGUAUUCCAGUCCUGUCUGUACCCCAGCUGCCGGAGAAAGGACGGCUGUACCUGUAUUGGAACCUGCCUCAGAAUGUCUACCCACGAGAUCUUACUCCAGCCAGACUUCUAGUGUUUUGUGAUUUUGCCAAGAAAUAAGGGAAAAAAGAUCCCUAAGAUGGCUAUUUCAAUGCAGCAAAGAGGAGAGGCUGUCUGUUUUCUAUGGCCCUGUGUAAUUCAGAUCCAGGAUGACUCAUUCCUCUUAAGUGAGAAUAAGCUUCAAAAAUUAGCCCAUUUUCCUCUCCUUCAGGCUUUAGUGUCCACAUCAGCCAAACCAAGCAAAGAGUUCACUUUGAAAGAAAUCUCACAGCAGACAGCAAAGCCUGAGCCACAAAAGACCCAUUUGUAAAGAGAUUAUCACCAAGGCAGCUCGUGGUUAUGAUUUGGGACAAAAUAGAUUCAUAGGAGUCAUACUUCUUUCAAAUACAUUUUCUAACUUGGACCAUAUGAAAAUUGGUAUCUAAUCUCAUACAAAAAAAAAGGUGUAUGCAGAAUAUCUUCAAAUAAACUGGCACGUAUUUAAAUAGGAAUUGUAAUUAAUAUCAUUAUCACUCAAAGAAAUGAUACUGUAUAUAUACAAAGGCAUGUGUUAUAUCAAACACGCAGACCAUGGUGUCUAAUACGGUCCCCACUAAAAGGAACUAGGCUCUGCAAAUCAAUGGGUAAUCCCAAGGCUGGGCAAGAGACAUCUUUUGAUGUCAGAAAGUAAAGAAGUGCUUAAAAAAGGGUAGGGGGAUAUGACAAAGACAUAGGAGCCAGGGUGAGGGGCUCCCACUGCCCAAAUACAGGAAAAUUUGAACACCAACAUAAUUAAGAACAAUAAAGAAUGUUAAACCAUUGGAAGAAAGAAGAAGCUAUCAGUUCAUACCAGUACCAGAUUAUUGAUGAAUAGAUGAUGGAUGGAUGGUAGAUGACAGAUGAUGAUAGAUAGAUAGAUAGAUAGAUUGAUGAUAGACAAAUAUUGAUAGGAGGGAGAGUCAAAAG